AGUAAAGAAAGCAGCUUGCCAACUUGUUCAUCCAAUUGCUCUAAAUAAUCUCUUUCCAGGAAUCAAGUGAUUCAAGAGGCAGGGACUGUUGCUUCUUCAUUUCACUGUCUAAAGGAACCAUAUGUUACCAUUCUUAUUCAGAGGGGAACACUCCUGAGGAUCUUGAUUAAAGGCAACUCAUGCCACCAACGGUAUUUCUAUGAUCUACCUACUAUGGAGCUGAAAAGUAAAGAUGGAAAUAAGCCUAUCUACAAACAGGAUGCUCUCUAUCAAGAGUCAUGAGAAUUGUCUUCAGAGGGUGCUGAAGAGACAUCAACCUGUCUUCUUUGAGACUCCUAGUGUUGGUGUGGAAGAUGCUACUGGAGACAACAGGUUCCUCCAGGCCUGAUUGCUUGGUCAAUUGUGAAUCACCUUUGAUGAAACAUACUCCGGCAUAAGAUGAGCCAGCGUGUGGCACCUGGCAUUUCAUUAAACAAUUGCACUGACUUAGAGGAUGCCCAGGAACCCAGACCACUACAUACACCAAAUCUCUUUUCUGAAAAUCCAUGGAGAAAUUUUUCCAGAGCUCACGCUGGCCCCAAACAAGGGGCUCCAAAGGGUUAUGGAAAACGACCUGGAGAGUUAGAUAUGCUGACAACGAAGGAUAUCCAGGAUUCCUUGUGGAGCGAAAAAAGGAAAAUGCACAGGAUGAACAACAUGAUCUCAUUUGUGUAAAAGCAAAACAAGAAAGCACCUAUGUAACUGUGAGAAAGCUGUUUUUAUCUGUCCAGUGUGUCUCUCUCCCAAGCCCUAUCUCCUUUCUGAUCCUGUCUUCUUGCCUAUGGGGAACCUUGUAUGUUUUGGAG
This 845-nucleotide long non-coding RNA is filed under the name Homo sapiens (human). Its description in RNAcentral is "HSALNT0320404". The record is from RNAcentral. Lineage: Eukaryota; Metazoa; Chordata; Mammalia; Primates; Hominidae.